RNAcentral lists this ribosomal RNA (506 nucleotides) under uncultured bacterium. RNAcentral describes it as "bacterial SSU rRNA". It matches the Rfam family "Bacterial small subunit ribosomal RNA", at positions 29 to 526 of the family's 1533-position model. The record is from RNAcentral.
AUUGAACGCUGGCGGAAUGCUUUACACAUGCAAGUCGAACGGCAGCACGGGGCAACCUGGUGGCGAGUGGCGAACGGGUGAGUAAUGCAUCGGAACGUGCCCGGUCGUGGGGGAUAACGCAGCGAAAGCUGCGCUAAUACCGCAUACGAUCUGAGGAUGAAAGCGGGGGACCGUAAGGCCUCGCGCGAUCGGAGCGGCCGAUGUCAGAUUAGGUAGUUGGUGGGGUAAAGGCUCACCAAGCCGACGAUCCGUAGCGGGUCUGAGAGGAUGAUCCGCCACACUGGGACUGAGACACGGCCCAGACUCCUACGGGAGGCAGCAGUGGGGAAUUUUGGACAAUGGGCGAAAGCCUGACCCAGCGACGCCGCGUGGAGGAAGAAGGCCGUUCGGGUCGUAAACUCCUGUUUGGGGAGAGAACAAGAGAGAAGUUAAUAGCUUCUCUCUCUGACGUAUCCCCGGAGAAACGCUACCGGCUAAUUACGUGCCAGCAGCCGACGGUAAAGUAC